Molecule: long non-coding RNA, 6816 nt
Organism: Bactrocera neohumeralis
Lineage: Eukaryota; Metazoa; Arthropoda; Insecta; Diptera; Tephritidae
Exons: 2
Source: RefSeq, a predicted model, not a curated record
UAUAAUUUUUUUUAACUUGCCGCUUUAUUUGAAAAAUUAUUUAAUUAAAUAAAUUAAAUUUUAUUUAAUGUUUAGAUAAAAUUUUUUUAAUAAUUAAUUUAGUUAAAUAAAAUUUAAUUAAAAUUAAAUGUCAAUUCUACUUUCGUUCAUAUCUGCGAGUCAAUACAUAUUUAUACACGAUAGACAUACUUAUUUAUUUGUGUCAUGAUUGUUGUGCAUAGCGGGUAGUUGGUAUAUCGGUGCAGGAACCAUAUAUGGAUACAUAUUUAUACAGAAAAUGGAAACAAUAAAAAAUAUGUACUAAGUAUAUAUAUACAACUAGUGUGAGUAGUAAGCAAAACGUAGUUGAAACGUAGAAAGGCCUUUAAUAUUCAAAAAAGAUGUAAAUUUGUUAGCGCUUGUAUGUAUUUAUUUAGGAAUAGUUGGAACGCCAGAAUUACAAUAAACAAAGCAAAUAAAGAAAUACUAAACUAAAUUAUAAAUAGUGUCUACAAGACAGGCAAAAAAUAAUUAAAAUACAAAUAUGCAAAUUUAAAAUGAAAAAAAAAAAAAUAAUAAUAAAAUGAAAUGGAAAUUAAAUAAAAAUAAAAUUUAAUGAAAAUAAAAUGAGGGGAAAAUGGAAAUAAAAAUGAAAAUAAAUAUAAAAUGAAUAUAAAAAAUCGGUGAAAAUUAAAAUGUUUUAAAAUAAACACACAUGUAUGUUAUAUGUGUGCAUGUACAUAAAUUCAUGGGAAGCUGAAAAGCCGAUUUAUUUUUUACUUGGCUUAUAGAAGAUCAUACAUGCAGAGUACACACAAAAAACUUGUUAAAAUGCUGAUUAAACCGAAAAAAUAAACAUCAAUUACUAUUAUAUAUACUACCAAAUAUAUAUUAUAUAUGAAAAAAAAUUAAUAAAAAAUAAUUAAAAAUAUUUAAAAAAUAUUAAAAAAGAAAACCAUUAAAAAAAAAUUAGAAAUAAUAAACAAUUAAUGCUUAGCAUGUAAAUGGCAAUUUCGCAACAAUAAAAAAACAAUUUAAUAUGUAAUUAAAAGCAAAAAAAAAUUACUAAAUUUAAUUUAGCAUUACACUGUAAUAUUAAAAAAGAAAACUAUAUAUUGUAUUGUUAAAAAAGCAAACACAAAAAUGUUAAAAAAAAUACUUGAAAAUUGUUAGCAAUGUGGUAGUGAUUAGUUAUAAGGCAUUACUAAAUAUAAAAGCUAAAAAAAAAAUAAUAAAAAAAUUAAAUUAAAUAAUUAUGUUAAAAAUAUAUAUACAAUAUAAAUGUAUUAAUAUAUAUUUACAUUGCAUAAAAGAAUGUUUUUCAAAGAAAAUUAAAAAAAGAGGAAAAAAUAUUUUAAGAAACCUCUUCAAAACGUUGUAAGAAACAGUAAAAAACAGUAAAUAAUAAAAAUAAGUACAGUAAAGACUCACCAAACAUUCCAAAAGUAAGCACCAAACCAACUAAAGAUAUCAUUUGCAAAAACAAAUAGUAAAAUAGCAAGAAAAAUGUAUAACCAAAUUAUUUCUAAGUGCAGCUGAAAAACAAUUUCAGUUUAUAACAAAAGAAAGCAAAUCCAUAGAGUACAGUAAGCAAGAAAAUAUUAAACCCAAGACCUACAUACAUACAUAACGUCAACUAAAAUGCAAAAUAACGUAAUAUCACUUAUCAUAAGUUUACAGGCGAAGGAAAAACGAUUUAAUAGAAACCACUCAUACUGAAACAAAAUUUGAGUUUCGGUUAUAAAAUGGGUAUAUAUUGGUUAUAAAAUGGUUAUAUAUUGUUUAUGAAAUGGUUAUAUAUUGGUUAUCAUACACUAAUACCGAAACUGGUAAUAUAUCGAUUAUUAUAUCUGACAGCGAUUUUCAAUUUGUUUUUGAUGUUCCGCUAUUUUGCAUUUUAGGUGACGAUAUAUAAUAUAAAGCAUACAUACCUACAAUAAGGCAAUGCAAUAUUUGUAAAACUCGUCAAGAGAAUGUGUUAAAUAUGUAUUACUAUAGAGACAACACAGUUUGAAAACUUAAAAUUAAAAAAUAUUAAACUACAGUUGCAAACAAAAUGUCACACUCAAAUUCGCACUUGCCCACUAAGCAUAAAAUUUAUUUUAAAAUAAUAUUAUUUUAACUGAACUUCAAAAUUGCUUUCAAAAAUAUUACCAAAAAAAGGUAAAAGCUAUGACAGAUGAGCGUUUGACAGCUGUCGAAUAACUCAAUAAAAAAUGACUAAGUGAAUUUCAAAAAUUCAAUAUGGUAUUAAAAAAAUUUCAAAAAUUUUGAAAGGCAUACAGUUUGACAUAUGAACGAACGUUUGACAGCUGUCAAAUAACUCAAUAUAUAUUUCAAACUUUCAAUAUUUAGUUAAAAUAAUGCCAAACCACUUGCUGAUACACCCUAUACAAGUAUAAGCCAUCAAGAAUUCAGAGAACAAUAUUUACCUCGCAUUCACAUACAGUUAGCAGCCAUUAUUAAAUGAAAGUUUCUUAAAUCUCACCCUCUAACUUCCACUUUAAUAUGCAGCAAUCCUUCUUUACGUACAAUUUUGGUUUUCCUUUCCAUGAAUCCUUCUUUAUAGGUUAGAUCUUGACAUUAUAUUGAAUAAGACACUUCUGUGUCGUCAACAGCUUCAAUAAAUUAAUAUUAUUGCAGGUAUAGAUUUUACCAUUUUCAAGCCAAUUAAGAAGGCGACCUUCUUUGAUGUCAAAAAAUUGUAGUUAAAGGUUAUCAUACUCCAUAUCCAUAUUAACUUCGUAUAUACUACCCACUUUCUAGCUCACAUAUUCGAGUUUUACGAAGUUUAGCAAAAGGUUCCCACAGUUUUCAUACAGAAGUGCUCAGAAAUAACAAAUAAAGACAUGUUUUUGUUUUAGUCUCCAAAACUUUUAACGCAAAACCCAUUUUCGAAAGAGUUAUGUACUAGAAAAACACACUACACAAAUUACCACAGUCUUUUUUUCUUUUAUCUCUGACAUCCUUUAAACACUUUUUGUAUAAAGUAUGUCUUAAGAGCGACAACUUCAAAAUUACGUAAAAGUUAUUGAGAUGGUUUUCACUAUGUUAUUUUUUGAGAGCGUUGCUAUGGCAUUUAGUUUUCAUUUCUCGACGAGGACGGCUCUUUGACUUCUCCCAUUCCAUGGAGGUACUUUUUGAAGUAUCCGUGACCGGAUAACAGCUGGUGUAAAAGUCGACUUCUCCAAAUUUACGGCUUGUCCAUAAGUUUAAGUAUUUUAAUGGUCUGGUCAUCGUAGAUGAUGUUCCACAAGUCUGGACUUAAAAUCAAUCCUUUUGCUGCUCCUAACGUGAUCUCUAUCUAUCGUGAUCCCACCCUAGUUUUGUACAGUAGUGUUCUGUUACUAAGGUAGUUUCGCAGCACAACUCUGAGCUUUUUUCGAGAGCGUCGAUCAUAUCUACCCAUCUAGCGCUGUUGAAGGCGUUUCGGACUUCUAAAUUCGCCAGCAACACUAUUCCUUAGUAUUUAUGCCAUCUACGCGGUGCGGCUUCUUAACUAAACUUUCAAUUACGCAUUUUAUACUCCAGUUUCGUUGCUAGCCUCUUCGGAUUAGCACCAGCCGUUGCUUUUUCCAGGGUUCAGAGAAUAAUCUGGCUUCGAGGCAGGCGUUGUACAUAGUUAUUAGUACUGCCGAUCGCUCUGCAGCGAUCAUUUUCAAGAUUUCUGCUGGAAUCCUGUCCGGGCCGGGUGAUUUGUUGGCCUUGAGCCUAGCAGUGGCUAAUUGCAGCUAUUCGAGGGUAAACUGGGGGACUUGUGGAAAUCUUAGUGUCUGUUCUGAAUCACUAGACCUUUUUUAGUACGUGAGGUGCGUUUACGAUGUGAUCCAUUUGGCAGUGGUUAAGUCAAUUGGUUUUGCUCAAGAGCCGAGUUUCUUCAUCACUAUUCUAUUCCCAAGUACCCAAUAACGCGUUCGUAAAAAUUGCACAGUGUAAACCAAACAUUAGUUUCACCAAAAACACAUUUGAAUUUUCAAAACCACAAAGCAAAUAUUAUUUAAAUCUCAAACAUAAAUUAAGACGUUUUUCGCACGAAAAAAAAACAAUGUGUUCAUUCAUUUUUAAGUAAAAUUACGAACACUGCUUUGAUUUAAAUGUUCAAAUACACAACACUGAGCGCUUAAAGCUCACAAAUACCAGAUGUGAAAAAAUAACGAUACAGAAAAUAAGUGAAAUUUAAUUACGUAAUAUAACUAUGAAAGACCAGUAUUUCACCAACCUAUAGUCAGUGCACCUUAAAAUUAUUCAAUUCAACUAAAGAACUAAUAAAUUAUGUAAUAACUGAAAUAUGAAAUUUAAUAAAUUUUUAGCAGCUACAGUUGGACAGCACAGUCUGAACAAAAAAAAUAAAGCCCACUUUUUUAUUUGUUAUGUUUCUAAAUAAAUUCAAAACGCGUAAAUAUUCAUGAGAAAUAGUAUUAUAUAUAUAAAAAUAAAAUAAAUAUAGACUGAUUACAAGUUUACGCCGAAAAAAUACAUAAAUAAUGCAAAUGCAACUAAUAAAAUGGAAAUAAAUAAAUUAAAAUUAAAUUAUUGAUGAAAGAGUUCAAAAAUUAAAUUUUAAUUGUUUAAAAAUAACACUGAAUAUAAAAUAAAAAAAAUACAAAAAUUAAAAAGCCAUAAAAAAUUAAUUGCUCCAUAAUUUUCAAACAGACUGUAAAAAAUUGAUAACAGAAAUUUUUAAAGUAAAAAAAUAUUAAAAAUUCUAUUUUAAUUUCAGAUACACUGAGAUCUUUAAGGUCAGAAAAUAUUAAAAAUACAAUUUCGAAUUUCGAUUGCUUUAUUUCGUUUCAAAAACCUCAGAUUGUAGGUGCAAAAUGGUGUGCGACUUGGCUGAAAAACUUGACUUUGUUCUAAAAAGUUACGAAUAUUAAUUUUUUCACCUAAUGUAAAUAUAAAAUAUUAAAAAGGCCGUACUUCAAUCCAUAAAAAAUAAUAGCGCAAAAUUAAUGAUGUUUGCAUAAUUUUCGCACAUACUGUAACAAAUUUGACUAAAAGCUUUAAAGUCAAAAAUAUUAAAAAUAUAUUUUUAAAAUUCAAUUGCAGCAUUCCGUUGCAAAAACGUCAAAUUAAGGGUGCAAAAUGGUGUGCGACUUGGCUAAAACUUAUAAAUUUUAUCUGAAAAGUUUCGAAUACUGUUUGCAUACUUUUCGAACACACUGUAACAAGUUUGACUGAGAUCUUUAAAGUCAAAAUUGAUUAAAAAGUCAUUUUCAAAUUCUAUUGCUCUGUUUCGUUUCAAAAACGUCAAAUUGUGGGUGCAAAAUUGUGUGCGACUUGGCUAACACAUAUAAAUUUGUUCUGAAAAGUUUCUGUUUCACAAAAUGCUCAAUGAAAAACAAGUAAGUUACAAAAACAACCAAGAAUGUUAGUGUGGAUAAUUAAUAUUAAAAAAUUUUGCACGAUUUGUGGAAAAGGUUUUAGACUAUACUAAAUAUAAUAAUUAGGUUUUUCUUUGAAAUACAACAAAUAUUUCCCGUUUCUCUCUCUUUCUUCGAUAUAAAUUUUACUUAUCUUAUUGAUUUUUCUUUGUGGAAUUAUUACUUCAAUUUUUGUAUUUCGCUUCAAAAACACCAGACAAGAAAGAAUGGUGUGAAACUUUGCUAAGAAAAAGUAAGCAGAUUGUUACACAAAAUGCUCAAUGAAAUAAAAGUAAUUUUAACAAGAACAAUAAGUUCAAGCCAAGAAUGUAGAAUAGCUUACCAGAAUUCAAUAAGUGUGUGCAAUUUAUGAAAAAGGUUGUGGACUUGACUAAAUAUAAAAAUUCGAUUUUUGUUUGAAAAACUACAAAUAUAUUCAGUUUUUUUUUUUCCUUCAAAAUAAAUUUUACUUAACUUAUUGAUGUUUUAGUGUGGAGUUAUCUCUUAAAUUUCUGUACUUCGCUGCAAAAACGCCUGACGUGUAAGAAUGGUGUGAGACUUUGGUAAACACAUAAAGUUUAUUGCUCAAUGAAAUUAAAGUAAUUUUAAUAAAACCAAUAAUGUCAAGCCAAGAGAGUUAAAAUUGAUUAUCAGUAUUCAAAAGCUUAGUACAAUUUGAGGAAAAGGUUGUGGACUUGACUAAAUAUAAUAAGUCGAUUUUUGUUCAGGUUUUCUCAUUUCCUUCGAAAUAAAUUUUACUUGUUUUAUUGCAGCUUUUUUGUGGAAUUUUCACUUCAAUUUCUGCAUUUUGCUUUAAAAACACCAGACGUGGAAGAAUGGUGUGAGACUUAGCUAAAAAACAUGACUUUAUUCUAAAAAGUAUGGGAUGUUGAUGGAUGGGAUUCAGAAAUACUGCAUGAAAUAAAAGUAAUUUUAGGGAAGACCCUUUAUACUUUUCUUAAGGUAUGCAAAAACAGAUUAUCAGUAUUAAAAAAUUUAGUUCUCGCACCGUUUAUGGAAUAGGUUACGGACUUUGCUAAAUAAUUUGACUUUUUCUUAAAAAUACUUUUUUUUAGUAAAUCGUAUAUAUAAUUUUUAAAUUUUUUUAGAAAUAUAUUAUCAUCUCUCUUUGUUCCAUAUUCAUCUUCAAUGACUCACAUAUCAACUAACCACAUAUACAUAUACCUAUAUAUAAAUAUAAUGGAUUGUAUUUAAACAUAUUUCGCUUUAAGCCUAAAUAACCAACUUGUUGUUGUUGCCUGUAUACAAUGAACGAAUCAAACGAAAUAAAACAGAAAUUCUAAAACGUAAAAACCGAAAAAGAUUUACCUCAUGGGAUGUGAGUCAGCAAAAUCAUGCAAUUAUUCACUACCUAACCACAAAAAUUAAAUUAAAUAAAACAAAAAAUAAAUAAAAUAUGUAUGUAAAUCACAAAGGAAAAAUUAUUAAAAGUUACCUAAAAAGUAAAUAAAAAAAU